Molecule: non-coding RNA, 451 nt
Organism: Cyprinodon tularosa
Lineage: Eukaryota; Metazoa; Chordata; Actinopteri; Cyprinodontiformes; Cyprinodontidae
Source: the annotation of a RefSeq genome assembly
AUGCUGGGGACCCUCUGCUCUCUCAUCACAGCUCUAACAUGUGUCAGUGGAGUGACUGUGGUGACACAGAAGCCUUCAGUUCUGACGGUGAGUAAAGGAGAGACAGCCACCAUGGACUGUAACCUGGGGACUGUUACUGGCGCUGUUCAGUGGUACAGGCAGAUCCCAGGAGGAGUUCCUCUAUAUAUACUGAGGAUUCAUCAUAGCUUUAGUUCACCAAGCUAUGGGACUGGGUUCUCUUCUACAAGACACACUUCCACUCAUCAGUCAACAACAGAUUAUCGUUUGAUCAUAAACAACAUAGAAGAAGGAGACUCUGCAGUUUAUUACUGUAAAACAUGGGACAGCUCUGUUAAUGAGUACGUAUCACAGUGAUUUACGCUGUGACAAAAACCUCGACACAAACACUUCUGCUUUUUCAGUGAUAGUUCUCAGAGGACUUGGCUUAUAU